The sequence is a regulatory RNA element, 127 nucleotides long. It matches the Rfam family "SAM riboswitch aptamer (S box leader)". Rfam says of the family: The SAM riboswitch is found upstream of a number of genes which code for proteins involved in methionine or cysteine biosynthesis in Gram-positive bacteria. The SAM riboswitch acts at the level of transcription termination control. The record is from Rfam.
CUCUUAUUCUGAGCAGGUGGAGGGAACAAGGCCCGAAGAAACCCGGCAACCGUCUUAUAUUAAUUUCAUCAUUAAUGUAGGAAAAGGUGCUCUCCUGAAGCGAAGUAAACACUUCGAACGAUAAGAG